Manis javanica (Malayan pangolin) is the source of this 5317-nucleotide non-coding RNA. Lineage: Eukaryota; Metazoa; Chordata; Mammalia; Pholidota; Manidae. The record is from RefSeq and is a predicted model, not a curated record.
GCGGGGCCGUGUCACAGCUCCUGUCCUACCUCACGGCUGCUUCUAGCCCGAGGAGAGGCCUGAGGCCGGGUUGGCGGUGGGGGGAGGGAGUUCCUUUGGUUUUCAUCGGCAUUUUUAACUUUUUGGGUAUCAGAAAAAUCGUAAGUGAUAGGAGAGGUCAUUGUGCACCUCUGAUGGCUUCCUCGCUUGUUAGGCUUGGGUUUAGGGGUUGGAGAAGCAGCCUGCGUCUCAUUAGGAGUGUGGCCCAGGCUGUAUCUGUCGACCCCCGCCAGGAGCGGUCUCGGCACCUGCGGAUUUUCACCUGCCCGUCCUCACCGCACCCGCGCCAGGCCCUGUCCCCUUGCCGCACACCUGCCAAGCCGUCUCCUCACCACACUGAGCUGACCGUCCCCUGUGAUCAGCUCUACGUUUGGCCCUUUAACAGUUGUAAGGACCGGCACAUUUGGGCGUCUUUCCACCAUCUCGCCUUGUGCACCAUAUUCCCCCUGCUGCUGCUUUUCCCUUCCUGUCUCAUUGUGGCAAAGAGCACGUGAGGCCUGCCCUCAGCUGCCCACUGCGCAGCGUGGUGUUACCCACGGCGAGACGUGGUACAGCAGAGCUAGAACUGACUCGUCCUGCGUGACUGCAGCCUCAUACCUGUUGCGGCGGACACCCCCCGGCUAGCCUCUGCACCUUUGACGAUUCUAAAUGUCUCAUACGAAUGGAGUCCUGCCUGGCUUAUGUCACUCAGCAUAAUGUCUUCAAGGCUCACCCGUGCUGCUGCACACAGAAGGAUGUCCUUGCUUUUUUGUAAACCUGUGUAAUAACCCUCUGUGUACAGCCCAUAUUUCCUUUAUCUGCUCACCUGUCUGUGGACACGAUAUUACUUCCAUGUCUUGACCAUUGUGAGAAGUGCUGCAGAAUAUGGGGUGAGAUGGCUGGUAGAGGCACUCACUGAAAUUCUUUUGGAUCAAUAUUGAUAACAGGAAUUUCUAUAUCAUAUGGUAGUCCUAUUUUUAGUUUUUUAAGGAACUACUACCCUGUUUUCCACAGUGGUUACACCAACUUCCCUUCCUGUCAACAGUGUAGGAGGAUUUCCUUUCUUCCACAUCCUCCUCAGCACUUGUUAUUUUCUGUGUCAGGGUGUGGCCAUCCUACCAGGCGUGAGGUGGUAGCUCAUUGUAGUUUUGAUCUGCAUUUCCCCAAUGAUGAGUGAUGUGGAGCGUCUUUUCCUUUACCAGCUGGUCAUUAUAUGUCGUCUUCAGAGAAAUGCCUCUUCAGGUCUCUUGUCCGUUUUUUUCUAAUUGGGUUAUUUGUGGGCUUUUUGCUAUUGAGUUAGAGGAGUUUCUUUCAUGUUUGGAUAUUACCCCCUUAUCAGUUAUAUGAUUUGCAAAUAUUUUCUCUCUUUUGGCUGCCUUUUUCACUGUUGAUGGCUCCUUUGCUGUGCAGAAGCUCUUUAGUUUGAUGUGGUCCCACUUGUCUGUCUUUGCUGUUACUGCCUUUUAUUGCUUUUGGUGUCCUUUCCAAGAAGCCACUGCCAAGACCAAUGUCAUGAAGGCAAGGAUGCCCACUCUACUCCUGUUCACACCACAUUACUGGAGAUCUUAGCCAGAACAGUUAAACAAGAAAAAGAAAUAGAAGGCAUCCAAAUCAGAAAACCCUAAGGACUCCAUAAAAACCCUGUUGGUACUAAUAAACAAAAUCAGUCAAGUCACAGCAUAUAAAAAUCAGUUGCCUUUCUAUACAUCAACAAAGAAAUAUCCAAAAUGGAAAUGAAGAAAGCCAUCCCAUUUACAAAUAGCAUCAAAAAAAAAUACUGAGAAAUAAACUUAAGCAAGGAAAUUACAGUCUUGUGCCUGCAGAAUAAGACAUUGAUGGAACAAAUUAAAGAAGACACUAACAAAUGGAAGGACCUCCUGUGUUCGUGGAUUGGAGGACUUAGAUGUUCUUAAAAUGUACAGCUACUCAGUGACCCAGAGAGUCAAUCAAACCCUAGUGAAAUCACAAUAGCAUUGCUUAGAAAGAGGAAAAGCAAUCCUAAAAUUCAUAUGCAACCACAAAGGACCCUGAAUAGCAAACAUAAUCUUGAGAAAGAAGAAAUGAAGCUGGGGGCAUCGUGCUUCCUUGCCGGAGUCCAGCUCCAGCGAGUCCAGGGUCCCUGAAGGAUGAACGGCAUCAGUGGCUGAAUGAAUGAGUUGAGGACACAGAUAUAGCAAAAGCUGAGCCUGGCCUUUAAUGAAAAGUAGCAGUUUUAUUAUAUACUCUUUGAUUACAUAAAGUAAAGUACAGAUAUUAAUCAUGUAAUUGACACAUAGCACGGUUACAUGAGUUUGGAGAAUGAGAUUAAGUCAUUUGGCAGGUCUUAGCAGUUAACUUGUUUCUAAGUAAGCUUUGUUCUUAGUUAUUGUGGCCAGAAAAUCUUACAAAGGUUAGGUAGGUGCCAGACUCUUGGUUUCUUUACAGAUGUCUAUCUAAAGUUCACUGUUCUACUAUUUUUAUCUAGGGCCCUCAUUCUUUCGUAGCUAUACUCCCAUUCUUCAUCUUUGGUAGGAAAGAAAGAGGCUCUCUCUAAAAGAACACGAUGACUUUUUGGCGGGCAGGGACAAAUUUUAUGGAUGGUGCCUCAGACCCAUUUUCAGUAAGACUUACAAUGGAGAUUUUUCUGAUCUGGAGUUAGGUAAUGCCCUGUUCUCAUUUGUUUUAUAAUUUGCCAGGUUGGUCUUUGGCAAGCUAGCCAAAGAAUAUCAUUUGUUCUCUGUACCCACCUGUUGCCAUUAAUCAUUGAAUAUGUUAUUUGGAGGCCAUGUAGGGGCGGGGGAAGGAACCUCAACCCAGGUACAUUUUCCAUAUCUUUUUUCCCAUAAACUUAGGUCCAAUACUCAUGGGGUCUCACUUUCCCAUCAUCGGGGGUAGUCACAAGGGUAAUAGUGGUUUUCUCCAAUUUCCUUUAGGGCCAGUACCCAAAAUUUUCAGGGAGAAUUGGGUAUAGCCUCCUCCCUGAAGGGGCAGCUUGAAUUGAAACCGAAAUAAGCAAAUUUAUUAGGAGAGACAUUUUGAGCAGGAGGGACAUCGGGGUCGCUCCCCUGGGAAGGCCGCGGUGCAGCCCCUGCCCUCCGGCUGCCCGCACUGUGUCAUCAGGUGGCGGUUCGGACUGGCUCCUGACACUUCCUGAAUCCAAAUUAUAUUACAGAGCUGCAGAGUUAAAACGGUAUGGUUCUGGCACAAGUGAAACAUAUGUGACAGCCCUGAAAAGGCCUCAUCUACAGUCAACUGACCUUUGACAACGGUGCCAAGAACACAUAAAAAGGACAGUCUCCUCAACAAAUGGUGUUCAGAAACUGGAUUCUUAUCUCAGACCCAUUACACCAUAAAUCAACUCAAAAUUAAAGACUUAAACUUAAGACCUGUAAGUGUAGAACUCGUAUAAAAAAAAUGGGAAAAGUUUCACCCUGCUUUUUCUGUGUUCAGGUUUUUCCUACUUUUUUUACUUAUUUGGGGAUAAGCAAAUAUUGUUUCAUAUUUUCCUGCCAUCCUGCUUUGGAAGUUAUGUCCCAUCAUGUCAACUCAGUAGCCGUCCUGAAAUAUCACCUGCGCCCUUGUUCUGACCUUGGAGUCGGUCCUCAGGACCGUAAAACACCCUCUUGCCUGUGGCUGCCCCGUCUCUGACUCCCCUGUGAGCAGCCUGCGCGUCAGAUUCCGGCUCAAAAGCUGGCACUCGGUGGCUUCGUUGUUGAGGAGCCUUUUUCAAGCGAUGCCUUAAUACUCCGUUUCGCUGCAGGGGGGGCCCCUCCUCCUGCUCAUCAGCAGAGUCCCCUCAGGCUGCCCCGCUGUGUGGAGCUGGGGACGCCUUCCUGUAGGCCCCGAGGGCCUGAGGUUGGUUCUCAGCAGAGCUGGGCAGCAGCCAGAGCCGGGAGGCCCCGGGGCCGUAAGCCACUCUGGGCCCGGGUCUGGAGGAGCUCCCGUUCUGCAGCCUCUGCCUUCAUCCCUGGUCUGUGUGUCAGAUGCCUGACCACGGGGUCCAGGGAGCAGCUCCUCCUCAAGACAAGGAUCCUGAGGGGAGGCUGGUCCAGUGGCGGCUCCUCACUGCUUGGCAGAAGCCAAGUCACAGGACGAGUCAUGAGCUGUGAGGUGGGGGUCGGGAGGGCUGGCUCCACCUGCCCACAUGUCCCAGGAGUGCCCAACAGGUCCCAGGGGCGUCCCAGGCCCCCCUGUCUGGCUUCACAGCUCAAUCACAGGCUGUGGCUUUGUGCCAUCUGCUGGUUGCAGGAUACUGCAAGGCUUUGUCACCAUGGGUCAGGGUGGCUGGGACAGAAAAGCCUGGCUCUGGCCCCAGGGCCACUACACAGAGGCCCUCGGUGGGCAGCUCAACUCCAGGGGCAGUGGGUGGUGGUCUCUGGGAGUUGUCAUAGAUGUCAUGAUGGGAUGGCCCCCCAGUUCCCUCAUUGUUAGGUGGUGGUUGGGCAGCACAUGCCUGAAAACUCUGGAGUGCUGCUGCCCGGCAUGCCAAGGCCAGAGGGCUGAUCGCAGAGGGAAGAUGGCGGACAGCAGAGGCCCCCACCUGACACCCUGAGCAACAGACGCUGAAGGCUGAGUGGUAGCUGCUGGAGGCCCACCGGGUAACCCUGUCCCCGAACUGGAAGCCUUCCUGGUCGGCGGGGGGAGUCCUCCAAGCGACCCCCAGCAGAAGGAACCGGAGGUUGAUGUGGAACAGAGCAGCACGUCCAUCUGCAGUGAAGCAAGUGUCAGUACUCUGUCCUCAUGGGAAGUUGCUCCACGGUGCAUGGAUCAUGUGUGUUGACCGUCCGUCCGUCCUGUCCACACUGGAAUAUGUCUGCAUUUUGCUGUCAUACUAGUGCUGUGAACAUACGUGGCAAAUGUGGUCUAGGACCUGUUCUCACCUCUCCCAGGUGGACCCUAGGUGUGGAAUCCACAGGACUGUGUUCUGCCUCCCAAGGGGCCCCCACAGCAGCUGCACCACCUCAUGCCCCUCCAGCAGCCUGGGGGGCUCACCUCUGCAUCCGCACACCAUUGUCCUCCAUCCAACGGGCAGUAGCCCUUCCAGGGGGCGAGGUGGGUGCCUCGGGGCUCCCACCUCCCUUUCCCUGGUGGCAGUGCUCGGAGCCUCCAGUCAUGCACCUCUCAGCCACGUCCCUGUGGACAAUGCAUGCCGCCGACCACUUGUGACUGGGCUGUCUGUCCGCGAUCGAGUCAUGUACUCUCGCAUGCCUGUGUGCCAGGCCCCACAUCAGUUGAGUCACAAGUAUUUUCAUAUGCUUUGAGGGUUGUCGCUUCCUGGUCUCCAUGGUGCCCCUAAACACAGCCUUUUAAUUCUGAUCCA